This 463-nucleotide ribosomal RNA is filed under the name uncultured bacterium. RNAcentral's name for it is "partial 16S ribosomal RNA". It matches the Rfam family "Bacterial small subunit ribosomal RNA", at positions 28 to 507 of the family's 1533-position model. The record is from RNAcentral.
GACGAACGCUGGCGGCGUGCUUAACACAUGCAAGUCGAACGGAAAGGCCUUUUCGGAGGUACUCGAGUGGCGAACGGGUGAGUAACACGUGGGUGAUCUGCCCUGCACUCUGGGAUAAGCCUGGGAAACUGGGUCUAAUACCGGAUAGGACCGCACUUUAGUGUGUGUGGUGGAAAGUUUUUUCGGUGUAGGAUGAGCCCGCGGCCUAUCAGCUUGUUGGUGGGGUAAUGGCCUACCAAGGCGGCGACGGGUAGCCGGACUGAGAGGUUGGUCGGCCACAUUGGGACUGAGAUACGGCCCAGACUCCUACGGGAGGCAGCAGUGGGGAAUAUUGCACAAUGGGCGCAAGCCUGACGCAGCGACGCCGCGUGGGGGAUGACGGCCUUCGGGUUGUAAACUCCUUUCGCCAGGGACGAAGCGUUUUGUGACGGUACCUGGAGAAGAAGCACCGGCUAACUACGUG